UUGCUAGCCCUGGAAACUGAAUUUCUCUGUCUACAAAAGACACACAGCUUAGUCAGUGAUGAUACAGGCUUCCCCACACUGCCUUGCCAGAGUGCCUGAAUCAACCUGAGGGACCAAGUGUAGUGAAUGAGAGAGCAAUUUGGUCUCCAUAAUGUUUGGCCAAAAAUUAUUGCU
RNAcentral lists this small RNA (174 nucleotides) under Gopherus agassizii (Agassiz's desert tortoise). Its description in RNAcentral is "TUC338 (ENSGAGG00000005669.1)". Lineage: Eukaryota; Metazoa; Chordata; Testudines; Testudinidae. The record is from RNAcentral.